Molecule: microRNA precursor, 126 nt
Organism: Brassica oleracea var. oleracea
Lineage: Eukaryota; Viridiplantae; Streptophyta; Magnoliopsida; Brassicales; Brassicaceae
Rfam family: MIR9563 microRNA precursor family
Source: Rfam
GUAAUAUAAAAAACCGUCUCUUAGCUUUUAACUAAAAAAAACUAAAAAUCAGUUUUUAAAUAAGAGUUUUAAGAACCGGUUCUUAACUUUUUUAGUUAAAAAUUAAGAGACGGGUUCUUAUAUUCC